RNAcentral lists this ribosomal RNA (532 nucleotides) under Hoplias intermedius. RNAcentral's name for it is "partial small subunit ribosomal RNA". It matches the Rfam family "Bacterial small subunit ribosomal RNA", at positions 657 to 1402 of the family's 1533-position model. The record is from RNAcentral. Lineage: Eukaryota; Metazoa; Chordata; Actinopteri; Characiformes; Erythrinidae.
UAAAGCCAAAGAUGCCCCAGGCCGUCACACGCAUACGGGGAUACGAAGCUCACACACGAAAGUAGCUUUAAUUCGCCCGACCCCACGAAAGCUAAGAAACAAACUGGGAUUAGAUACCCCACUAUGCUUAGCCAUAAACACAGAUGUUACCAUUACACAAACAUCCGCCAGGGUACUACAAGCGCUAGCUUAAAACCCAAAGGACUUGACGGUGUUUCAGACCCACCUAGAGGAGCCUGUUCUAGAACCGAUAAUCCCCGUUCAACCUCACCACUCCUUGCUAUUUCCGCCUAUAUACCGCCGUCGCAAGCUUACCCUGUGAAGGUACUACAGUAAGCAAAAUGGGUAAAACCCAAAACGUCAGGUCGAGGUGUAGCUUAUGGGGUGGAAAGAAAUGGGCUACAUUUCCUACAUAAAAGGAUAUUACGAACGACCUCAUGAAACUGAAGUCUUAAGGUGGAUUUAGCAGUAAAUAUAAGUAGAGCAUUCUUUUGAAGCCGGCUCUGAAACGCGCACACACCGCCCGUCACUC